This is a long non-coding RNA of Sinocyclocheilus anshuiensis, 217 nucleotides long. RefSeq lists it as uncharacterized. Lineage: Eukaryota; Metazoa; Chordata; Actinopteri; Cypriniformes; Cyprinidae. The record is from RefSeq and is a predicted model, not a curated record. The transcript has 2 exons.
ACUGAACAAGACAAACCAUUAAAACACAGUUUUGUUUUUUUUUGUUUUUUUUUGUUAGACAGCACCUGAAACGUAUUCAUCAGAAGGACUCAAGGUGGCGUUAGAACCAGACUCAUAAUCCUGGCUCAAGUUGGCGUUAGCAGAACCAGACUCAGCAUCCUGGCUCAAGGUGGCGUUAGCAGAACCAGACUCGGCAUCCUGGCUCAAGGUGGCGUUA